GCGGGGGUCAGCAUUGUGGGCUCCUCCUGUUUCAGAGGAAGCACUGUGUAGACCACAUCGCUAGGCUCGUCUCUCUGGGGCCUUCAGAGUAUCUGUGUUCACCUGGGACGGGCUCCCUUACAGGCGGACAUGAAGUACGUUAUUUAAGAGAGACCAGACAUGUGGAUUUUUCGGUGAAAUCAGCCAGACUUUAAAUGUUUAGAAAAUGUGGACGGGCCUCCAGGUUGAUCAGCGUUCUUGGGACAGGUACCAGGCGGAGGCUGUCCACCUCCUCCAGCAGAAUGCCUCGGCCGCUGCCAGGGCCUUGCCCGAGGUGCACGUGCUGGCCAACUGCUGCAUCCUCAGGAAAACGUGGCAGGAGCUGAGCCAGCAACAUGUUCCGUGUGCAGACCUGGGCCUGGCUGUGCAAGGCACGAUCCAGCACAUUGAGGACCACAGCCGGGACAACCUCCUGCCUCGAGUCAGGGCCUUGUGCCAGAGUCUGCUAAGGGGCCACUUUGGGAAGAAGGACAAGGAUCUGGUUGGAGCUCUGCAGUCCCUGUGGCAGGGCCUGGAGGGCUGCCCCAACAUGCACUCUACUCCCACGUACAAGGACCUCGGCUUGACCAACCCACAGGAGUCCAUCAUGGGGAUCUUCCAGUCCCGUGAGAACAAGAGCAGGGAGACUGUGGAUGACUGGCUGGCCUCCUUCAGGGACAGAUUCCCAGGUUAUGUGAGCAUUCAGGACCAGCCAUGCAGCUCUGUGGACCUGGACAAGGAGAUUGAGGUCAAGGGAAGCUACUGCCGCUGCUGCUGCUGACACCCCCAGCUCUGGACAAGGUGACCACGGGUGCAAAGCUCCAGAGCACUCCUCCAGGGGAGGCGAUGGGGGAGGGUCCCGCCCUGGGCAGGGUGGGGAGCCAGGUCAAGGGGCACAGUGGAGCAGGGUCCAGCUGCUUUCGGUAGACAAGGCGUCACCUUGUGCUCUAGGCCAGCAGUUCUCAGGAGCUGGUCUCAGGACCCCUUUACUCUGAGCAAUUACUGAACUAAAGAAGUAUAGCUAAUGUGAUUAUACUGAAGAGCUACCGCAUUAGAAAUUAAGACCAAGAAAUAUUUAGUAAUUCAUUUAUUUGUUAAAAUUAGUAAUUCAUUAAAACAGAAAAUUACUAUUUAUUAAAUAACUAUAAACAAAGUAAAUGAUAAAAUGUAUUAUUUAUAUGUGACUAAAUAGAUUUGGAAAUAAAUUAGUAUCUAUAUAAAAAUAAUACUAAUUU
Molecule: long non-coding RNA, 1253 nt
Filed under: Ursus maritimus (polar bear)
Lineage: Eukaryota; Metazoa; Chordata; Mammalia; Carnivora; Ursidae
Description: lncRNA (ENSUMAG00000024902.1)
Source: RNAcentral